Molecule: ribosomal RNA, 619 nt
Filed under: uncultured Desulfitobacterium sp.
Lineage: Bacteria; Bacillati; Bacillota; Clostridia; Eubacteriales; Desulfitobacteriaceae
Description: bacterial SSU rRNA
Rfam family: Bacterial small subunit ribosomal RNA
Source: RNAcentral
GGCGGCGUGCCUAACACAUGCAAGUCGAACGGAGAACUCAAAAAGCUUGCUUUGAGAGUUCUUAGUGGCGGACGGGUGAGUAACGCGUGGGCAACCUCCCCCUUAAACCGGGACAACCCUUGGAAACGAGGGCUAAUACCGGAUACACUUUUCUGAGGACAUCCUCGGGAAAGGAAAGGCGGCCUCUGAAGAUGCUGCCGAUAAGGGAUGGACCCGCGUCUGAUUAGCUGGUUGGUGGGGUAAAGGCCUACCAAGGCGACGAUCAGUAGCCGGCCUGAGAGGGUGAACGGCCACACUGGGACUGAGACACGGCCCAGACUCCUACGGGAGGCAGCAGUGGGGGAUCUUCCGCAAUGGACGAAAGUCUGACGGAGCAACGCCGCGUGUAUGACGAAGGCCUUCGGGUUGUAAAGUACUGUCUUUAGGGACGAACGGUAUCUAUGUGAACAAUGUAGGUACAUGACGGUACCUAAGGAGGAAGCCCCGGCUAACUACGUGCCAGCAGCCGCGGUAAUACGUAGGGGGCGAGCGUUGUCCGGAAUCAUUGGGCGUAAAGGGCGCGUAGGCGGAUUUUUAAGUCUGGUGUGAAAACUUGGGGCUCAACCCCAAGCCUGCAUCG